CACUCCUGCGGGAGGCAGCAGUGGGGAAUAUUGCACAAUGGGCGCAAGCCUGAUGCAGCCAUGCCGCGUGUAUGAAGAAGGCCUUCGGGUUGUAAAGUACUUUCAGCGGGGAGGAAGGCGAUAAGGUUAAUAACCUUGUUGAUUGACGUUACCCGCAGAAGAAGCACCGGCUAACUCCGUGCCAGCAGCCGCGGUAAUACGGAGGGUGCAAGCGUUAAUCGGAAUUACUGGGCGUAAAGCGCACGCAGGCGGUCUGUCAAGUCGGAUGUGAAAUCCCCGGGCUCAACCUGGGAACUGCAUUCGAAGCUGGCAGGCUAGAGUCUUGUAGAGGGGGGUAGAAUUCCAGGUGUAGCGGUGAAAUGCGUAGAGAUCUGGAGGAAUACCGGUGGCGAAGGCGGCCCCCUGGACAAAGACUGACGCUCAGGUGCGAAAGCGUGGGGAGCAAACAGGAUUAGAAACCCUAGUAGUCCCA
This 472-nucleotide ribosomal RNA is filed under the name uncultured organism. Its description in RNAcentral is "partial 16S ribosomal RNA". It matches the Rfam family "Bacterial small subunit ribosomal RNA", at positions 334 to 797 of the family's 1533-position model. The record is from RNAcentral.